Molecule: long non-coding RNA, 1456 nt
Filed under: Olea europaea subsp. europaea
Lineage: Eukaryota; Viridiplantae; Streptophyta; Magnoliopsida; Lamiales; Oleaceae
Source: RNAcentral
AGUUCAAAUCAUAAUACACUUGGAGAGGAAGACACAGAAUUUGAAGAAUCUGAAGAGGACGACGAAGAUUUUGAUGAGGGAGACACUGAACAUGAAGUUGCAGACACAACUGAUGGACAGUCAGCAGACACAACUGAUGGACAGUCAACUGUUGAACCCUCCAUUUCUACCCAAGAAAAACAAACAGAUCCGCCUAGAACCUCUUGGAUUAAUCUUCUUAAAGAUAACAGAAAUCAAGGUAAGGGAUUACAGCUUCAAAUGUUUGAUAAUCUGCCGGAGGAAGUUGUGUUGGGGUUCUUGGAUGUAGAUGAUAUUGAAUCUUCUUGGGGCUACUGCCUUGUUGGGCACGUUGGUGGCAGGUUUCUUGAAUAAACAGCUUUCCUUAAGAUGUGUGAUGAAUGGAAAAUCAAGUAUCAGUACUUUAUACACAGUGGUGGGUGGCUUGUUUUGAAAUUCAAAAAUUAGGCUGCUCGAGAACAGGUUCUUAGUGGGGGACUGUACUCCAUUUUUAAUGGGCCAUUGACGCUCCAUACCAUGCCCCGAUGUUUUGAGUUUGACGAUAAGGAAAUUAGUACGAUGCCAGUAGGAAUCACGUAACCCAGAUUACCAUUGGAUUGUUGGAAUCCCAAUGCCUCAGGAAGGAUUACUUCUAAGGUUGGAAAACCAAUUGCUACAGAUGUACAUGUACUUACAUCUACUAAAGGUAGGUUGUCAUGUGCAAGAGUUUGAGAAUAUGCCAAAGUUUUGCACGGUUUGUAAAAUGCUUGGGAGCCAUUCGACGGAUGGCUACAAUACGAAAAACAACAUCCAACUAUAGCCACCACCUUACUGCAAAAAAGGUUGACGUGGUGAAUGAUACCCAGAACAAUGCCGAAACUCGAUUGCAGGCAAACCGAAUUGUGUGAAACAGCUUGGAGCAAGGGGAUUUGUGCAGCUGGGACUGCAUGAUCAUGUUCCCCUCCUUGAAUGGGCCAAGAAAAAGAAGGGAAAUAAUAAAUCUAAGGAGCAGGGUCUGGUUUCAAACUCUAAUGAUUUGGAUUCUGUCCAGCAAAAUGCGAAAAUGGGUAAGGGGGAUCAAACUGAUCUUAACCAACCUUAAUCAAGCAUGAGUUGAUCAGGGGGUUGCAGACAUUGAAAUCCCCAAUUUGGACAGUUUCCCCAAUGAGAAACGCAAAGGGAAACUUGAAGAAAAGCCUACCAAAUCAAAGAAGAAAGAUAGGAAAUGUUAAAGAGGUCAAGUCUCACAUCGAAUAAAGAUGAAAACAUAGAUCAACUUAAAAAGAAUUUGACUACUCUUCUUAACAAGGUUGACCUUUUAAGAUAGUACUCUAAAUCUUAACAUAAUAUCAAAGUUUAUUAAGCUCAAACGAGCUAUUCAAUCAAAUUAAGACUCAUAAAAUGAACAUACGAAUGUCAAAAUUGGUCUACACAAAACAAGCUACCAUCUUGCGGAAAC